UGGGUGAUCUGCCCCUGACUCUGGGAUAAGCCUGGGAAACUGGGUCUAAUACCGGAUAUUCAUUUUUCCUCGCAUGGGGAUUGGUGGAAAGCUUUUGCGGUUGGGGAUGGGCCCGCGGCCUAUCAGCUUGUUGGUGGGGUAAUGGCCUACCAAGGCGACGACGGGUAGCCGACCUGAGAGGGUGAUCGGCCACACUGGGACUGAGACACGGCCCAGACUCCUACGGGAGGCAGCAGUGGGGAAUAUUGCACAAUGGGCGCAAGCCUGAUGCAGCGACGCCGCGUGAGGGAUGACGGCCUUCGGGUUGUAAACCUCUUUCAGCUCCGACGAAGCGCAAGUGACGGUAGGAGCAGAAGAAGCACCGGCCAACUACGUGCCAGCAGCCGCGGUAAUACGUAGGGUGCAAGCGUUGUCCGGAAUUACUGGGCGUAAAGAGCUCGUAGGCGGUUUGUCGCGUCGUCUGUGAAAUUCUGCAGCUUAACUGUAGGCGUGCAGGCGAUACGGGCAGACUUGAGUACUACAGGGGAGACUGGAAUUCCUGGUGUAGCGGUGAAAUGCGCAGAUAUCAGGAGGAACACCGGUGGCGAA
RNAcentral lists this ribosomal RNA (588 nucleotides) under Gordonia sp. (in: high G+C Gram-positive bacteria). RNAcentral's name for it is "bacterial SSU rRNA". It matches the Rfam family "Bacterial small subunit ribosomal RNA", at positions 118 to 719 of the family's 1533-position model. Lineage: Bacteria; Bacillati; Actinomycetota; Actinomycetes; Mycobacteriales; Gordoniaceae. The record is from RNAcentral.